CACCAUGAGAGGGCAGUGGAGGGCAGUACCAAAUGUGUUUCCAACAUAAUCAAGUUCCCUGCUUUAUCGACAUUUUGAAAUUGGUCUAGAAGCCUAUGCAGAUGGUCGAUUACAAUAGUAAUAUUAAGAUGUGCAACGCGUUGCGCUAAGAGGUUGAUCUAACUAAAAAUUUUGUAAAUUUCAUGAAGAUUUUUUGAUAACCAAGCAGAUUUUCAUAUGCUAUUCUCAAUGAAUCAACUGCUCUUAAUUUGUUCCAUUUUGCUCCGCAAUUUGUUCUUUAUUUUAUUAAAACAUCUUUAAAUAACAAGUAUAUGAUUUGCUCUUGGGUAUUAAGACUUGGACAUCAGAAAUCCUGGCCAAGAAUGUUUAGAAGUACUGAAAGUUGCCCAAAAUUGUGUGCGCGCAACCUCGACGAGCAGGAUUCGUGAGUGGGGUGGGAGUGGGGGAAGCGACGAAGGCAGCGCCCGGACUCCGAGCGCUCAUUCUUCCUCGAGCCGGUCUCCUAUACUGGUCUCUUGGAAGCACCCCUCUUAUCUUUUACCAA
Cephus cinctus (wheat stem sawfly) is the source of this 544-nucleotide long non-coding RNA. RefSeq lists it as uncharacterized. Lineage: Eukaryota; Metazoa; Arthropoda; Insecta; Hymenoptera; Cephidae. The record is from RefSeq and is a predicted model, not a curated record. The transcript is spliced from 3 exons.